UGCGUAGGCGGUUUCGUAUGUCGGAUGUGAAAGCUCGCCGUUCAUCGGCGGAAGUGCAUUCGAAACUACGAGACUAGAGUACAGGAGAGGAGAGCGGAAUUCUUGGUGUAGCGGUGAAAUGCGUAGAUAUCAAGAGGAACACCGGUGGCGAAGGCGGCUCUCUGGAAUGAUACUGACGCUGAGGCACGAAGGCUGGGGGAGCGAACA
Molecule: ribosomal RNA, 207 nt
Filed under: uncultured bacterium
Lineage: Bacteria
Description: partial 16S ribosomal RNA
Rfam family: Bacterial small subunit ribosomal RNA
Source: RNAcentral